AACGAACGCUGGCGGCAGGCCUAACACAUGCAAGUCGAGCGCGCCCUUCGGGGUGAGCGGCGGACGGGUGAGUAACGCGUGGGAACGUACCCUUUGCUACGGAAUAGCCUCGGGAAACUGAGAGUAAUACCGUAUACGCCCUUUGGGGGAAAGAUUUAUCGGCAAAGGAUCGGCCCGCGUUGGAUUAGGUAGUUGGUGGGGUAAUGGCCCACCAAGCCGACGAUCCAUAGCUGGUUUGAGAGGAUGAUCAGCCACACUGGGACUGAGACACGGCCCAGACUCCGACGGGAGGCAGCAGUGGGGAAUCUUAGACAAUGGGGGCAACCCUGAUCGAGCCAUGCCGCGUGAGUGAUGAAGGCCUUAGGGUUGUAAAGCUCUUUCAGCUGGGAAGAUAAUGACGGUACCAGCAGAAGAAGCCCCGGCUAACUCCGUG
RNAcentral lists this ribosomal RNA (433 nucleotides) under uncultured bacterium. RNAcentral describes it as "partial 16S ribosomal RNA". It matches the Rfam family "Bacterial small subunit ribosomal RNA", at positions 29 to 507 of the family's 1533-position model. The record is from RNAcentral.